RNAcentral lists this ribosomal RNA (396 nucleotides) under uncultured bacterium. Its description in RNAcentral is "partial 16S ribosomal RNA". It matches the Rfam family "Bacterial small subunit ribosomal RNA", at positions 523 to 918 of the family's 1533-position model. The record is from RNAcentral.
AUACGUAGGUGGCAAACGUUGUCCGGAUUUACUGGGUGUAAAGGGCGUGUAGGCGGAGAUGCAAGUCAGGAGUGAAAUCUAGGGGCUCAACCCCUAAACUGCUUUUGAAACUGUAUCCCUUGAGUAUCGGAGAGGCAGGCGGAAUUCCUAGUGUAGCGGUGAAAUGCGUAGAUAUUAGGAGGAACACCAGUGGCGAAGGCGGCCUGCUGGACGACAACUGACGCUGAGGCGCGAAAGCGUGGGGAGCAAACAGGAUUAGAUACCCUGGUAGUCCACGCUGUAAACGAUGAAUACUAGGUGUGGGGGGACUGACCCCCUCCGUGCCGCAGUUAACACAAUAAGUAUUCCACCUGGGGAGUACGAUCGCAAGAUUGAAACUCAAAUGAAUUGACGGGG